AGUCUAUGUACACACAGAAAAGUGUGAAGUUUUAGUCCCUCCUUGUCUCACAAUGAUAAAUACGUGAUGUUUUACAAAAGAUGAAUAAUAAAAAGAAGAAAUUCGCCAGCAAAACUGAAAGCGCAACAAAGAAAGUGAUAAACUAGAAGUAGAGGUAGAAUUGAACAUAAAUGGAGUUAUAAAAGAAAUAAAUGACCAUAAAAAUGUUGACACUGCUGUCAUUGGAGAAAUUCUAGAUAAGUAGCCAGAAGGAACUUAGUAAAAGUCUACUUAAUGGUGUAAAUAAGGAAAGUGGUUCUGACGAAAAGAAUGAAGAUGUCCUUGAGGAAGCGCUGCCAGGAAUAAACUCAGCAUUAAAAGAAUUCUCAGAGACAUUUUACAGCAUUGAAAGUGCAAAGGGUAAAAUAAUGUAAACGGAUCCAAACUUAAGAAGGAAUAUGACAAGUUGCCAAGAUAUAGAAGUGAAGCUUGCUUCCUAUCAUAAGAUAUACCAUGAGAAGAAGAGCCAGACCUUGAUUUCAUGCGAGAAGGUGGAGUAGGAGGAAGAGAAGGAGGAGAGUUAGAAGGAGUAGGAGGAGGAGGAAAACCUCCUGGCUCGUCUGAGUAUAUUCCUAGGUGAUGGCAGAGGGGCAAGAAAGCAAGCAAAAAGAAGCACAGAAGCCCUCUCAUGGCCAAAACUGGCUUGGUGUCACUUUUACCUCAUUCUAUUGGUCAAAAAAAGUCAACAGGCUGAGCCCAGAGUCAGAGUGGGAGAGUACUGCAUGGUUACAUGACAGAGGAUGUGGAUAUGAGGAAUCGUGAAGAACUGCAUCCAUUAGAGCCAUCUGUCACAGAAGGGACUAUUGUCAUUUUACUAAUUUUGUACAUGAGGAUAGGGAAGCAUGGAGAUGGUAACAUGCCUAAAGUCACAUAGCUUCUUAGCUGUGGAACCAGAAAGUAAACCUGGGCCUUCUGGGCCCAGGGCCCGUGGCUGUUAAAACCACUGUGCACACUGCCUUACUCCUACCCUUCACAAUCAGGUUUCUGCUCUGACCACCCUAGAAAACAUGCCCGUCUCAGGUUACCGAUGCUCUCCUAUGGACAGAUCCAAUAGCCUUUGUUAAUUGUCCACAUCUCUAUCCAUUCUGUAAUACUCCUGCAUGCUGCAUCCUUGGAGUUCUUUUCUCCUUUGAUUCUGCAGAACCUGUACUGUUUUGUUUCUCUUUCUGGCUUCCUCUGUCUGUCUCUCUUCACCAACUACAUAAUGCAUUCACUUCUUUUUCUUGGCAUCUCCCUUUCCAAGCACACCCACUCUCCUGGUUUCCAUUAUCUCCCUGCAGACAACUCUCAACUGGCUCUAAGAAAGCUCACUAUAAUUUUCAGCAACCUAAUUCAGUCGUUUGUCCGUCACAAAUAACAGCUCAGGAAAAUCAAAGGAUUUUCUCACUAGCAUCUUAUCAUUCCAUGUCACCUAGCAACUAUCCCAGUGCUUGAUAUUCUGCUACUAGAAACUCCCUACUACACAGAUAAUACCACUGGAAGGUAUAAAGCCACUUGACUGACCUCUCUCCAUUCACAGCAUUUAUAACUGUAAGAAAUUGCCAGUGGUUGACUCUUUCCGACCUUCGAAAGUGGCAAUUUCAUGUGGUUCAGCUUAAUAGUAUUUAUUACCUUGUGCUGUAAUAAUUUUGUAUCUGUAUCUCCCAUGAGACUCAAAGCUGCUUGAUUGAGGAGAUCAUGCUUGCUUCUGCUUUUCAUCAAGUUGCCUAGUACAUGACACUCUGUAAGGAUUAGACCAAGUAGGUAUUGAAUAAUUGUUUGGCGAAUUUAAAAAAUUAAAGAAACAUUUGAAAUCAAUGCACCAGAGGCUAGAGACAGAGUGCUAGGAAGGGAACAGGAUGGGGACAGGGACACCAGAGCAAAGAUAGAGUCAAAGACACAUUUCCAAAAUGGCAAUUCAUGCCUUGUGUCAGUUGUACCCACCUCACAUUCUUUAACACUUAAGGUUUUUCUGGGUAGUAAGUGCAAUACAUUCUUAUUAUAAAACAAUAUAGACAGUUCAGUAUGUAUAAAUGAGGAUAAAAUCAAAAUCACCCACAAUCUCACCACUUUGUGAUAAUAACCAUUAACUUCAAUAUUGAUGAAUUUCCUUGAAUGUUUUAUCUACAAUAUUUCUUUCAUAUAGUUGAUAUCACUCUGUAUGCACAAACUUGUAUCCUUUUUCUAAAUCUUAAUAUCAUAAUAUUAGCAUUUUCUAAUGUUAGUAGAUGUACUUCUUAAAUAUUGCUUUUUAAUGAUAAAGGUUUUUUUUUUUUUUUUUACAAAUAAAGAUUUGUCUAUAUUUUGGGUUAUUUCCUUAACACAUAUUCACAAAGGUAAGAAUUAAAAAGUAAUUUUAACUAAGUCAAGGAGCAUGAAAAGUUUUUAGAU
Molecule: long non-coding RNA, 2409 nt
Filed under: Homo sapiens (human)
Lineage: Eukaryota; Metazoa; Chordata; Mammalia; Primates; Hominidae
Description: non-protein coding lnc-POLE4-15:12
Source: RNAcentral